CCCUUAGAUGUUCUGGGCCGCACGCGCGCUACACUGAUGCAUUCAACGAGCCUAGCCUUGACCGAGAGGUCCGGGUAAUCUUUGAAACUACAUCGUGAUGGGGCUAGAUUAUUGCAAUUAUUAAUCUUCAACGAGGAAUGCCUAGUAAGCGUGAUUCAUCAAAUCGCGUUGAUUACGUCCCUGCCCUUUGUACACACCGCCCGUCGCUCCUACCGAUUGAGUGUGUUGGUGAGGAGUUCGGAUUGGCUCUUAGUGGUGGUUCGCCACCACCUAGAGCUGAGAAGUUCUCCAAACCGCCCCACUUAGAGGAAGGAGAAGUCGUAACA
RNAcentral lists this ribosomal RNA (326 nucleotides) under uncultured eukaryote. Its description in RNAcentral is "partial 18S ribosomal RNA". It matches the Rfam family "Eukaryotic small subunit ribosomal RNA", at positions 1470 to 1796 of the family's 1831-position model. The record is from RNAcentral.